AGAGUGAACGCUGGCGGUAGGCCUAACACAUGCAAGUCGAACGGCAGCACAGUAGGAGCUUGCUCUUACGGGUGGCGAGUGGCGGACGGGUGAGGAAUACAUCGGAAUCUACCUUUUGGUGGGGGAUAACGUAGGGAAACUUACGCUAAUACCGCAUACGCCCUUCGGGGGAAAGCCGGGGACCAGCAAUGGCCUGGCGCUGAUAGAUGAGCCGAUGUCGGAUUAGCUAGUUGGUGAGGUAAUGGCUCACCAAGGCGACGAUCCGUAGCUGGUCUGAGAGGAUGAUCAGCCACACUGGAACUGAGACACGGUCCAGACUCCUACGGGAGGCAGCAGUGGGGAAUAUUGGACAAUGGGCGCAAGCCUGAUCCAGCCAUACCGCGUGGUGAAGAAGGCCUUCGGUUGUAAAGCCCUUUUGUUGGAAAGAAAGCAUUCGGUUAAUACCCGGUGUUCUGACGGUACCAAGAAUAAGCACGGCUAACUCGUGCCAGCAGCCG
Molecule: ribosomal RNA, 497 nt
Filed under: uncultured soil bacterium
Lineage: Bacteria
Description: bacterial SSU rRNA
Rfam family: Bacterial small subunit ribosomal RNA
Source: RNAcentral